This 17-nucleotide non-coding RNA is filed under the name Mus musculus (house mouse). Lineage: Eukaryota; Metazoa; Chordata; Mammalia; Rodentia; Muridae. The record is from RNAcentral.
AGGUGCAGGCCUGUGGA